RNAcentral lists this long non-coding RNA (496 nucleotides) under Bos taurus (domestic cattle). RNAcentral describes it as "long non-coding RNA NONBTAT019640". The record is from RNAcentral. Lineage: Eukaryota; Metazoa; Chordata; Mammalia; Artiodactyla; Bovidae.
AUGAAUUUGUUCGAAUUCCAGAUGCCCUGAACAUUCUCUGGAACUCAUCAGCUCCCUAAGCUAAAGCUAUAGGUUUAAAUCUAAAUCUAACUCCAUAGGUUUCAACCUAAAUUUCAUGAUGAACAAAACCUGAAUAGACGUCUUGCCUGUCUUUGAUCAUUCUUUUUCCAAAAUUACUAUGACUGCAUUAGGACAAUAGAAUGCAGUCAACAAACGCAAUCACUAGUCCCUGGCCAGAUAACACAUUCCAAACUUUAUUUCCUAAAGGAGAUUUUAUCAAGUUUGUGCUCUUAUAAAUAGGAGAAAGAGAGAAAUAUAACUUGGCAAAUGGAAGUGUUCAUUAAUUUAUCCAUUUAUUCAACAAACAUUAAUUUAGUAUCUACCACAUUCUAGCGAGCUUAUAGCCUAGCAGCAGAAAUAACCUCACACACACAAUCAAACCAUUAAAUAAGUGUAGGGUAUGUUGGAUUAAAAAAAUGGUCUGGUCUAAAUUCAA